CAGUCGAGCGGAAGGCCACUUCGGUGGUACUCGAGCGGCGAACGGGUGAGUAACACGUGAGUAAUCUGCCCCUGGCUUCGGGAUAGCCACCGGAAACGGUGAUUAAUACCGGAUAUGACACGGACUCGCAUGGGUUUGUGUGGAAAGUUUUUCGGCCAGGGAUGUGCUCGCGGCCUAUCAGCUUGAUGGUGAGGUAAUGGCUCACCAUGGCUUCGACGGGUAGCCGGCCUGAGAGGGUGACCGGCCACACUGGGACUGAGACACGGCCCAGACUCCUACGGGAGGCAGCAGUGGGGAAUAUUGGACAAUGGGCGGAAGCCUGAUCCAGCAACGCCGCGUGAGGGAUGACGGCCUUCGGGUUGUAAACCUCUUUCAGUACCGACGAAGCGCAAGUGACGGUAGGUACAGAAGAAGCACCGGCCAACUGCGUGCCAGCAGCCGCGGUAAUACGUAGGGUGCGAGCGUUGUCCGGAAUUAUUGGGCGUAAAGGGCUCGUAGGCGGUUUGUCGCGUCGGGAGUGAAAACGCCGUGCUUAACACGGCGCUUGCUUCCGAUACGGGCAGACUAGAGGUAUUCAGGGGAGAACGGAAUUCCUGGUGUAGCGGUGAAAUGCGCAGAUAUCAGGAGGAACACCGGUGGCGAAGGCGGUUCUCUGGGAAUGACCUGACGCUGAGGAGCGAAAGUGUGGGGAGCGAACAGG
This 700-nucleotide ribosomal RNA is filed under the name uncultured bacterium. RNAcentral's name for it is "bacterial SSU rRNA". It matches the Rfam family "Bacterial small subunit ribosomal RNA", at positions 59 to 776 of the family's 1533-position model. The record is from RNAcentral.